Molecule: ribosomal RNA, 253 nt
Filed under: uncultured bacterium
Lineage: Bacteria
Description: partial 16S ribosomal RNA
Rfam family: Bacterial small subunit ribosomal RNA
Source: RNAcentral
UACGAAGGGGGCUAGCGUUGUUCGGAAUUACUGGGCGUAAAGCGUGCGCAGGCGGCUAUCCAAGUCAGUGGUGAAAGCCCGGAGCUCAACUCCGGAAUUGCCAUUGAAACUGUUUAGCUCGAGUACGAGAGAGGUGAGUGGAAUUCCCAGUGUAGAGGUGAAAUUCGUAGAUAUUGGGAAGAACACCGGUGGCGAAGGCGGGUCUCUGGACAGUUCCUGACGCUGAGGCACGAAGGUCAGGGGAGCAAACGGG